Non-coding RNA from Petromyzon marinus (sea lamprey), 524 nucleotides. The record is from RefSeq and is a predicted model, not a curated record. Lineage: Eukaryota; Metazoa; Chordata; Hyperoartia; Petromyzontiformes; Petromyzontidae.
ACCAAGGUUAACAAGGUUAACAAAUACCAAGGUUAACAAGGUUAACAAAUACCAAGGUUAACAAGGUUAACAAAUACCAAGGUUAACAAGGUUAACAAAUACCAAGGUUAACAAAUACCAAGGUUAACAAGGUUAACAAAAACCAAGGUUAACAAGGUUAACAAAUACCAAGGUUAACAAGGUUAACAAAUACCAAGGUUAACAAGGUUAACAAAUACCAAGGUUAACAAGGUUAACAAAUACCAAGGUUAACAAGGUUAACAAAAACCAAGGUUAACAAGGUUAACAAAUACCAAGGUUAACAAGGUUAACAAAUACCAAGGUUAACAAGGUUAACAAAUACCAAGGUUAACAAGGUUAACAAAUACCAAGGUUAACAAGGUUAACAAAUACCAAGGUUAACGUUUGCUGCUUUAACAACCUCAGAUCGCGAGCAUAGUUCGUUCCGGAAACGAGUUUGUAAUCCAAAGCGACUCCGUAUAUCGGUCGUGAUCACGUGACGCUCGGCAGUACAAAGCGUCGAG